AGCCCUAGCUGGGAGGGGCAGGGCGCAGGGGCGCGCCCGGGUGUGCUCGAGCGUGCACUGGCGGCUUCCCGGGCGCCCGGGCGUCUCUCGCGCUGUGUUUUGGCGGCGCCCGGCGUCUUCGUUUGCAUGUGAGAAGAGCCGAAAGCACAGAGCUACAGGCGAAUACAAGUGGAUUUUUUUUUCUUUUUCUGUUUUUUUUAUUAUAAGUAAUAGUUGCUGCAUUUUGAAAAAUCAAGAGGAAAAGAGUUAACAGGAAGAAAAGUUCGAGUGUCUCUGUUGCCCAGGCUGGAAUGCAGUGGUGCAAACAUGGCUCACUACAGCCUCAACCUCCUGGCCUCAAGUGAUCCUUCUGCCUCUACUUCCUGAGUAACUUUGGUCACAGAGACAUAGUUUCCCUAUGUUGCCCAGGCUGGUCUUGAACUACUGGUCUCAAGUGAUCCUCCUGCCUUGACCUCCCAAAAUGCUGGAAUUACAGGGCUGGGCUUACACCCAAUUUAUGGUCAUCUUGCUCAUGUUCAUCCUGCACAAUUUCUAGCAUUUGGAGAAUGUUUCUCAUGGUAGCAUCUAAUGCCUGUGGCUGCUGUCUGAGAGAAAGCAGUGAUGAGGGGAAGACACUGACCUCUGUUUGGCACUGCUUCUUGCUGCUGCCAUAUGAAGAAGGACGUGUUUGCUUCCCCUUCCUCCAUGAUUGUAAGUUUCCUGAGGCCUCGCCAGCCAUGCUGAACUGAAUACAACAUGUUUAAGACCACAGGACAUCUGCAUAGGCUGUAAAUUUCGUUAAAUGAUGGAUGCAAAGAUGGAAGACCGAUGGAGAGAGGAAAAGACAGAAUCAGAUACUGGAUGAGUUAGUACUGCUGCCUGUGCUUCAGAGCUGACUUGUUACCACAAGGCCGGCAAGCAUCAAUGUCCCCACAUCCCCCUCUGCCUCCCCCUGAAAUGUACCGAUUUAUAUGAAAAUUAAGAUUACAAAUUAAAGCCUGGCUAUCCUGGAGUUUUCCAGUUCAUCAGCCAUCCAAUAAAAAUGAUGUCAAGCCUGUAUGCAUAAUUCCCAGAAGAUUACUUUCGUCCUUACAGCUAAGCCCUGUCCCUGAUAUGAAAGAUCUCUAUCCACUUUUAUUGAAAUAAAGAACUAACAUCAUAA
Pongo pygmaeus (Bornean orangutan) is the source of this 1141-nucleotide long non-coding RNA. RefSeq lists it as uncharacterized. The transcript is spliced from 7 exons. The record is from RefSeq and is a predicted model, not a curated record. NCBI's taxonomy places the organism in Eukaryota, Metazoa, Chordata, Mammalia, Primates, Hominidae.